RNAcentral lists this ribosomal RNA (253 nucleotides) under uncultured bacterium. RNAcentral's name for it is "partial 16S ribosomal RNA". It matches the Rfam family "Bacterial small subunit ribosomal RNA", at positions 524 to 776 of the family's 1533-position model. The record is from RNAcentral.
UACGUAGGUGGCAAGCGUUGUCCGGAUUUACUGGGCGUAAAGAGCGCGCAGGCGGUCGAUUAAGUCGAAUGUGAAAGCCCCCGGCUCAACUGGGGAGGGUCAUUCGAUACUGAUCGACUUGAAGGCAGGAGAGAGAAGUGGAAUUCCCGGUGUAGCGGUGAAAUGCGUAGAUAUCGGAAGGAACAUCAGUGGCGAAAGCGACUUCCUGGACCAGUACCGACGUUCAGGCACGAAAGCGUGGGGAGCAAACAGG